RNAcentral lists this ribosomal RNA (589 nucleotides) under Bacillus sp. A-A-N-2-2. RNAcentral's name for it is "bacterial SSU rRNA". It matches the Rfam family "Bacterial small subunit ribosomal RNA", at positions 215 to 796 of the family's 1533-position model. Lineage: Bacteria; Bacillati; Bacillota; Bacilli; Caryophanales; Bacillaceae. The record is from RNAcentral.
UCACUUACAGAUGGACCCGCGGCGCAUUAGCUAGUUGGUGGGGUAAUGGCUCACCAAGGCGACGAUGCGUAGCCGACCUGAGAGGGUGAUCGGCCACACUGGGACUGAGACACGGCCCAGACUCCUACGGGAGGCAGCAGUAGGGAAUCUUCCGCAAUGGACGAAAGUCUGACGGAGCAACGCCGCGUGAGUGAUGAAGGUUUUCGGAUCGUAAAGCUCUGUUGUUAGGGAAGAACAAGUGCGAGAGUAACUGCUCGCACCUUGACGGUACCUAACCAGAAAGCCACGGCUAACUACGUGCCAGCAGCCGCGGUAAUACGUAGGUGGCAAGCGUUGUCCGGAAUUAUUGGGCGUAAAGGGCUCGCAGGCGGUUUCUUAAGUCUGAUGUGAAAGCCCCCGGCUCAACCGGGGAGGGUCAUUGGAAACUGGGAAACUUGAGUGCAGAAGAGGAGAGUGGAAUUCCACGUGUAGCGGUGAAAUGCGUAGAGAUGUGGAGGAACACCAGUGGCGAAGGCGACUCUCUGGUCUGUAACUGACGCUGAGGAGCGAAAGCGUGGGGAGCGAACAGGAUUAGAUACCCUGGUAGUCC